GCCUUCGUGGUGUAGUGGUCAGUACACUCGACGCGUAUUCCAGAAGUCCGUGGUUCGAGUCCCGGCGAGGGCA
This 73-nucleotide transfer RNA is filed under the name Stegodyphus mimosarum. It matches the Rfam family "tRNA". Rfam says of the family: Transfer RNA (tRNA) molecules are approximately 80 nucleotides in length. Their secondary structure includes four short double-helical elements and three loops (D, anti-codon, and T loops). Further hydrogen bonds mediate the characteristic L-shaped molecular structure. tRNAs have two regions of fundamental functional importance: the anti-codon, which is responsible for specific mRNA codon recognition, and the 3' end, to which the tRNAs corresponding amino acid is attached (by aminoacyl-tRNA synthetases). tRNAs cope with the degeneracy of the genetic code in two manners: having more than one tRNA (with a specific anti-codon) for a particular amino acid; and 'wobble' base-pairing, i.e. permitting non-standard base-pairing at the 3rd anti-codon position. The record is from Rfam by way of RNAcentral. Lineage: Eukaryota; Metazoa; Arthropoda; Arachnida; Araneae; Eresidae.